UUUUUUUUUUUUUUUUUGACAAAUUUAAUGGUGGAUUGGACCUAGAAAAUUUGCAUGAUUGGUUCAAUCAUACUGAAUUGUAGACAGUUACAUACUACUGAUUGGGCUAUGCUUAGACAUUUGAUGGUGGAAAAGUUAAUUACCCUUCAUUGUGGAAGCAGGGAAGUAUACUCUGUGUGCUUACUCAAGGUUAGCUAUUAUUGAUUGUGUUGAUUACUUGGGGCCUAAUGAAGAUGAAGGGCAAGGAGCAUGCGCUUUUUUGCAUUCCCACCUAUUUGCAACAAUUAUGCUUUUGUUAGCCAUUCUAGUAACGGGAAACUUAAUAAACAAUUUUUGUUAGCCAUUCUAGUAACGGGAAACUUAAUAAACAAUUUUAUUUUUUUGUAAGGUUGUUUAAUAAGUUUCUAUUUUAUUUCUUUAUUUAAGGUUGUAUCCUCGAUGGGCAUUUUUGGUUUUAAAGGUAUUUUGGGCAUGAGAACCUAGGGUUUCUACAUCAACAGUAUUUAAGCUCAAAUAUUUGAUAGCCUUCCAUGGAAUUUGAUUAUUUAUUAGUUGUAAUUACUAUUUCCAAGUUUGAUAUUAA
This 583-nucleotide unclassified non-coding RNA is filed under the name Hevea brasiliensis (rubber tree). Lineage: Eukaryota; Viridiplantae; Streptophyta; Magnoliopsida; Malpighiales; Euphorbiaceae. The record is from RNAcentral.